CACCAAAUUUUACUUUACUACAUCUCCUCAUCAACAGAAUUCCAUCCAUGUCUUCACAGAUCAAAACAACACAAUAAAACCAUAUAGAACAGCCCCAACAAUCAAGCCAUAUUAAGAGAGGUUUCUUAAAAAAAAUCAAGAAUAUUUCUAUAGAGGUUUCAACUAUUUCUUAAGAAUUCUAAUGGUAGAAGUUUACAAAGAUCAAAGAGAAGUUAAAUCAUACCUUAUGUGACCAGAAUUACUCAAAAUUCGAAAUUACUUCAAGGCGGAGUCUUGCUAUGAAAAGUGAAACACCGAAGAAUUCACGAUUCCGAAGCUACCAUGGUGUUCUCCAUCUUGAGGAUGACUAAAUUGUUGUUAUGCUUGGCUAGAUGGAUGGGAGAAGUUUGAGAGGAAAUCCCUUGGUUUUUGGUUCUGUUUUGG
Molecule: long non-coding RNA, 423 nt
Filed under: Nicotiana tabacum (common tobacco)
Lineage: Eukaryota; Viridiplantae; Streptophyta; Magnoliopsida; Solanales; Solanaceae
Description: long non-coding RNA (NTAB_LNC004051)
Source: RNAcentral